GCAUAUCAAUAAGCGGAGGAAAAGAAACCAACAGGGAUUGCCUCAGUAACGGCGAGUGAAGCGGCAACAGCUCAAAUUUGAAAUCUGGCCUCUUCGGGGUCCGAGUUGUAAUUUGUAGAGGAUGUUUCGGGUACCGCCUCGGUCUAAAUUUCUUGGAACAGAAUGUCAAAGAGGGUGAGAAUCCCGUCUUGGAUCGGCGGUAGGGCCCAUGUGAAACUCCUUCGACGAGUCGAGUUGUUUGGGAAUGCAGCUCAAAAUGGGUGGUAUAUUUCAUCUAAAGCUAAAUAUUGGCCAGAGACCGAUAGCGCACAAGUAGAGUGAUCGAAAGAUGAAAAGCACUUUGAAAAGAGAGUUAAACAGUAUGUGAAAUUGUUGAAAGGGAAGCGCUUGCAACCAGACUUGCGCGCGGCGGUUCCCCCUUCCUUUUGGCUGGGUUAUUCCGCCGUGUCCAGGCCAACAUCGGUUCUGGGGGUCGGUUAAAGGCUCUGGGAAUGUAUCUACCCUUCGGGCGUAGACUUAUAGCCCAGGGUGUCAUGCGGCCUCCCGGGACCGAGGAACGCGCUUCGGCUCGGAUGUUGGCGUAAUGGUUGUCAGCGACCCGUCUUGAAACACGGACCAAGGAGUCUAACAUCUAUGCGAGUGUUUGGGUGUCAAACCCGGAACGCGAAAUGAAAGUGAACGGAGGUAGGAAGCUUCGGCUGCACUAUCGACCGAUCCUGAUGUCUUCGGAUGGAUUUGAGUAAGAGCAUAGCUGUUGGGACCCGAAAGAUGGUGAACUAUGCCUGAAUAGGGUGAAGCCAGAGGAAACUCUGGUGGAGGCUCGCAGCGGUUCUGACGUGCAAAUCGAUCGUCAAAUUUAGGUAUAGGGGCGAAAGACUAAUCGAACCAUCUGGUAGCUGGUUCCUGCCGA
RNAcentral lists this ribosomal RNA (910 nucleotides) under Exophiala angulospora. RNAcentral's name for it is "LSU rRNA". It matches the Rfam family "Eukaryotic large subunit ribosomal RNA", at positions 38 to 964 of the family's 3401-position model. Lineage: Eukaryota; Fungi; Ascomycota; Eurotiomycetes; Chaetothyriales; Herpotrichiellaceae. The record is from RNAcentral.